RNAcentral lists this ribosomal RNA (782 nucleotides) under uncultured bacterium. RNAcentral describes it as "bacterial SSU rRNA". It matches the Rfam family "Bacterial small subunit ribosomal RNA", at positions 8 to 796 of the family's 1533-position model. The record is from RNAcentral.
AGAGUUUGAUCCUGGCUCAGAAUCAACGCUGGCGGCGUGCCUAACACAUGCAAGUCGAGCGAGAAAAGGGUAGCAAUAUCCUGAGUAAAGCGGCGCACGGGUGAGUAACACGUGGGUAAUCUGCCCUGGAGUGGGGAAUAACACCGGGAAACCGGUGCUAAUACCGCAUACGAUCGCGAUGUCUGCGGACGUUGUGAUGAAAGGAGCAAUUCGCUCCAGGAGGAGCCCGCGGCUGAUUAGCUAGUUGGUGAGGUAAUGGCUCACCAAGGCUACGAUCAGUAUCCGGUCUGAGAGGACGGUCGGACACACUGGAACUGAGACACGGUCCAGACUCCUACGGGAGGCAGCAGUGGGGAAUUUUUGGCAAUGGGGGCAACCCUGACCAAGCAACGCCGCGUGGGUGAUGAAGUCUCUUGGGACGUAAAACCCUUUCGACGGGGAAGAAACCGCAAGGUUGACGGUACCCGUAGAAGAAGCCCCGGCUAACUCCGUGCCAGCAGCCGCGGUAAUACGGGGGGGGCAAGCGUUGUUCGGAAUUACUGGGCGUAAAGGGUGCGUAGGCGGUGCUCUAAGUCGGAUGUGAAAACUCUGGGCUCAACCCAGAGCCUGCAUCCGAAACUGGAGUGCUAGAGUUCUGGAGGGGGUAGCGGAAUUCCUGGUGUAGCGGUGAAAUGCGUAGAUAUCAGGAGGAACACCGGUGGCGAAGGCGGCUACCUGGACAGAAACUGACGCUGAGGCACGAAAGCUAGGGGAGCAAACAGGAUUAGAAACCCUAGUAGUCC